UUUAUGGAGAGUUUGAUCCUGGCUCAGGAUGAACGCUGGCGGCGUGCCUAAUACAUGCAAGUCGAGCGAACGGACGAGAAGCUUGCUUCUCUGAUGUUAGCGGCGGACGGGUGAGUAACACGUGGAUAACCUACCUAUAAGACUGGGAUAACUUCGGGAAACCGGAGCUAAUACCGGAUAAUAUUUCGAACCGCAUGGUUCAAAAGUGAAAG
RNAcentral lists this ribosomal RNA (212 nucleotides) under Staphylococcus aureus. RNAcentral describes it as "partial 16S ribosomal RNA". It matches the Rfam family "Bacterial small subunit ribosomal RNA", at positions 1 to 206 of the family's 1533-position model. Lineage: Bacteria; Bacillati; Bacillota; Bacilli; Caryophanales; Staphylococcaceae. The record is from RNAcentral.